RNAcentral lists this ribosomal RNA (253 nucleotides) under uncultured bacterium. Its description in RNAcentral is "partial 16S ribosomal RNA". It matches the Rfam family "Bacterial small subunit ribosomal RNA", at positions 524 to 776 of the family's 1533-position model. The record is from RNAcentral.
UACGUAGGGCGCGAGCGUUGUCCGGAUUUAUUGGGCGUAAAGAGCGUGUAGGCGGCUAGAUAGGUCCGUUGUGAAAACUCGAGGCUCAACCUCGAGACGUCGAUGGAAACCAUCUGGCUAGAGUCCGGAAGAGGAGAGUGGAAUUCCUGGUGUAGCGGUGAAAUGCGCAGAUAUCAGGAAGAACACCCGUGGCGAAGGCGGCUCUCUGGUACGUGACUGACGCUGAGACGCGAAAGCGUGGGGAGCAAACAGG